This 497-nucleotide ribosomal RNA is filed under the name uncultured bacterium. Its description in RNAcentral is "partial 16S ribosomal RNA". It matches the Rfam family "Bacterial small subunit ribosomal RNA", at positions 28 to 507 of the family's 1533-position model. The record is from RNAcentral.
GAUGAACGCUGGCGGCGUGCCUAAUACAUGCAAGUCGAGCGAACAGACGAGGAGCUUGCUCCUCUGACGUUAGCGGCGGACGGGUGAGUAACACGUGGAUACCCUACCUAUAAGACUGGGAUAACUUCGGGAAACCGGAGCUAAUGCCGGAUAAUAUAUUGAACCGCAUGGUUCAAUAGUGAAAGACGGUUUUGCUGUCACUUAUAGAUGGAUCCGCGCCGCAUUAGCUAGUUGGUAAGGUAACGGCUUACCAAGGCAACGAUGCGUAGCCGACCGGAGAGGGUGAUCGGCCACACUGGAACUGAGACACGGUCCAGAGUACUACGGGAGGCAGCAGUAGGGAAUCUUACGCAAUGGGCGAAAGCUUGACGGAGCAACGCCGCGUGAGUGAUGAAGGUCUUCGGAUCGUAAAACUCUGUUAUUAGGGAAGAACAAAUGUGUAAGUAAAUAUGCACGUCUUGACGGUACCUAAUAAGAAAGCAACGGCUAACUACGUG